This 1375-nucleotide ribosomal RNA is filed under the name Mortonagrion arthuri. Its description in RNAcentral is "eukaryotic LSU rRNA". It matches the Rfam family "Eukaryotic large subunit ribosomal RNA", at positions 590 to 1722 of the family's 3401-position model. Lineage: Eukaryota; Metazoa; Arthropoda; Insecta; Odonata; Coenagrionidae. The record is from RNAcentral.
AGGAAGCGAGAAAUCGACGCGCCUUUCAGGCGUCCGGCCCUCCGCGAGCACCCGCGGGGUUUCGGGACACGGACCCGGUCCGAUCCCGUCACCACCGAGGGGCUGUCCGCGAAUAAAUGGAGGUGUCCUCGGACGGCGUCGUCUCUCUCCAGUCCGCGACGCUACGGCUUGGAUGGUCCACCCGACCCGUCUUGAAACACGGACCAAGGAGUCUAACAUGCGCGCGAGUCGUUGGGUCUGAAGCGCUUCGCUAAACCCAUAGGCGCAAUGAAAGUGAAGGCCGCCGUUCAGGCGGCCGAGGGAGGAUCGGGCUGCGGCCCUCGCACUCCCGGGGCGUCUGAUCUCUCAUCGCGAGGGGAGGCGCACCCAGAGCGCACACGUUGGGACCCGAAAGAUGGUGAACUAUGCCUGGCCAGGACGAAGUCAGGGGAAACCCUGAUGGAGGUCCGUAGCGAUUCUGACGUGCAAAUCGAUCGUCGGAGCUGGGUAUAGGGGCGAAAGACUAAUCGAACCAUCUAGUAGCUGGUUCCCUCCGAAGUUUCCCUCAGGAUAGCUUGCGCUCGGAGGAGAGUCUCAUCCGGUAAAGCGAAUGAUUAGAGGCCUUGGGGCCGAAACGGCUUCAACCUAUUCUCAAACUUUAAAUGGGUGAGAGCUCCGGCUUGCUCGAUUCACGAAGCCGGAGACUGGAUCGGAGUGCCUAGUGGGCCACUUUUGGUAAGCAGAACUGGCGCUGUGGGAUGAACCAAACGACGGGUUAAGGCGCCCGAAUCGACGCUCAUGGGAAACCAUGAAAGGUGUUGGUUGCUUAAGACAGCAGGACGGUGGCCAUGGAAGUCGGAAUCCGCUAAGGAGUGUGUAAUAACUCACCUGCCGAAGCAACUAGCCCUGAAAAUGGAUGGCGCUGAAGCGUCGUGCCUAUACCCGGCCGUCGCGGCAGGGCGGGACUUUUUUUAAGUUUCCGUUCGAUGCGGCGACGAGUAGGAGGGUCGCGGCGGCGUGCGCAGAAGGGUCUGGGCUCGAGCCUGCCUGGAGCCGCCGCCGGUGCAGAUCUUGGUGGUAGUAGCAAAUACUCCAGCGAGGCCCUGGAGGACUGAUGUGGAGAAGGGUUUCGUGUGAACAGCCGUUGCACACGAGUCAGUCGAUCCUAAGCCCUAGGAGAAAUCCGACGCCUACGGCGACGGGACUGAAAUAAUUGGAAUAACGACCCGUUGAUCGGGCGAAAGGGAAUCCGGUUCCUAUUCCGGAACCCGGCAGCGGAACCGCUGUUUGUCGGGCCCUCAAAAGGGGUUCGUCAGGGUAACCUAAAAGGGCCCGGAGACGCCGUCGGGAGCCCCGGAAAGAGUUUUCUUUUCUGCAUGAGCGUUCGAGUUCCCUG